AGGGAAACAACCCAGACCGCCGUUUAAGGUCCCAAAUACAGGCUAAGUGGAAAACGAAGUGUGAAGGCUAAGACAGUCAGGAAGUUGGCUUAGAAGCAGCCAUCCUUCAAAGAAAGCGUAAUAGCUCACUGAUCGAGUCCUCAUGCGCGGAAGAUGUAACGGGGCUAAGUCUGUAACCGAAAGCGCGGAUUUGCACGCAAGUGCAAGUGGUAGGGGAGCGUUCUGUAAGCCUGCGAAGGUGUGUGGUAACGCAUGCCGGAGGUAUCAGAAGUGCGAAUGCUGACAUGAGUAACGAUAAAGCGGGUGAAAAGCCCGCUCGCCGUAAGCCCAAGGUUUCCUGCUCUACGUUCAUCGGAGCAGGGUGAGUCGGCCCCUAAGGCCAGGCUGAGAAGCGUAGCUGAUGGGAAGCAGAUUAAGAUUUCUGCACCGACGUUAAGUGCGAAGGGGGGACGGAGUUUUGAGCAUCAUCCGGGUGUUGGAUGUCCCGGUUUGUGCGUGUAGGAGGCCGGCAGGCAAAUCCGCCGGCGAAUCUCCGAGACAAAGCAUCGAGCUGCAUUUUGCAGUGAAGUGAUGGGAUGAACUUCCAGGAAAAGCCUCUAAGCUAUAGCUUGACGUCGACCGUACCGUAAACCGACACAGGUGGGCGAGUUGAAUAUACUCAGGCGCUUGAGAGAACUCGGGAGAAGGAACUCGGCAAAUUGACACCGUAACUUCGGGAUAAGGUGUGCCUUUGUAGUGUGAAGAGUGAAACACUCCGAGCAUGAAGAGGUCACAGAGAAUAGGUGGCUGCAACUGUUUACUAAAAACACAGCACUCUGCAAAGACGAAAGUCGACGUAUAGGGUGUGAUGCCUGCCCGGUGCUGGAAGAUUAAGUGAUGGGGUGCAAGCUCCUGAUCGAAGUCCCGGUAAACGGCGGCCGUAACUAUAACGGUCCUAAGGUAGCGAAAUUCCUUGUCGGGUAAGUUCCGACCUGCACGAAUGGCAUAAUGAUGGCCACACUGUCUCCUCCCGAGACUCAGUGAAGUUGAAAUGUUUGUGAUGAUGCAAUCUCCCCGCGGCUAGACGGAAAGACCCCAUGAACCUUUACUGCAGCUUUGCAUUGGACUUUGAACCGAUCUGUGUAGGAUAGGCGGGAGGCAGAGAACCGAGGACGCCAGUCUUUGGGGAGCCGACGUUGAAAUACCGCCCUGAUUUGUUUGAGGUUCUAACCGCGGACAGUAAACCUGUUCCGGGACCGUGCAUGGUAGGCAGUUUGACUGGGGCGGUCUCCUCCUAAAGGGUAACGGAGGAGUACAAAGGUACGCUAGGUACGGUCGGAAAUCGUGCUGAUAGUGCAAUGGCGCAAGCGUGCUUGACUGCGAGACCGACAAGUCGAGCAGAUGCGAAAGCAGGUCAUAGUGAUCCGGUGGCACUGAAUGGAAGGGCCAUCGCUCAACGGAUAAAAGGUACUCUGGGG
RNAcentral lists this ribosomal RNA (1457 nucleotides) under human gut metagenome. RNAcentral's name for it is "bacterial LSU rRNA". It matches the Rfam family "Bacterial large subunit ribosomal RNA", at positions 1016 to 2473 of the family's 2925-position model. The record is from RNAcentral.